CGGGCUAUAGCGCAGUCUGGUAGCGCGUUCGUCUGGGGGACGAGAGGUCGUAGGUUCGAACCCUACUAGCCCGACCA
This 77-nucleotide transfer RNA is filed under the name Amylibacter sp. RNAcentral describes it as "tRNA-Pro". It matches the Rfam family "tRNA". From Rfam's summary of the family: Transfer RNA (tRNA) molecules are approximately 80 nucleotides in length. Their secondary structure includes four short double-helical elements and three loops (D, anti-codon, and T loops). Lineage: Bacteria; Pseudomonadati; Pseudomonadota; Alphaproteobacteria; Rhodobacterales; Paracoccaceae. The record is from RNAcentral. RNAcentral also lists the same sequence under 2 other names.